GCCCCUACGGGACGCAGCAGUGAGGAAUAUUGGUCAAUGGUCGGGAGACUGAACCAGCCAAGCCGCGUGAGGGAUGAAGGUACAGAGUAUCGUAAACCUCUUUUGUCAGGGAACAAAGGCGGGGACGUGUCCCCGGCUGAGUGUACCUGAAGAAAAAGCAUCGGCUAACUCCGUGCCAGCAGCCGCGGUAAUACGGAGGAUCCGAGCGUUAUCCGGAUUUAUUGGGUUUAAAGGGAGCGUAGGUGAAUUGUUAAGUCAGUUGUGAUAGUUUGCGGCUCAACCGUAACAUUGCA
This 293-nucleotide ribosomal RNA is filed under the name uncultured bacterium. RNAcentral describes it as "partial 16S ribosomal RNA". It matches the Rfam family "Bacterial small subunit ribosomal RNA", at positions 335 to 625 of the family's 1533-position model. The record is from RNAcentral.